Molecule: ribosomal RNA, 493 nt
Filed under: uncultured bacterium
Lineage: Bacteria
Description: partial 16S ribosomal RNA
Rfam family: Bacterial small subunit ribosomal RNA
Source: RNAcentral
AGUGAACGCUGGCGGUAUGCCUAACACAUGCAAGUCGAACGGCAGCACAGUAAGAUCUUGCUCUUACUUGUGGCGAGUGGCGGACGGGUUAGGAAUACAUCGGAAUCUACUUUUUCGUGGGGGAUAGCGUAGGGAAACUUACGCUAAUACCACAUACGACAUACGGUUGAAAUCAGUUGAUCUGCGGACCUUGCCCGAUUGAAUGAGCCGACGUCGGAUUACCUAGUGGGCUGGGUAACGGCCCACCAAGGCGACGAUCCGUAGCGGAUCUGAGAGGAUGAUCGGCCACACAGGGACUGACACACGGCCCAGACUCCUACGGGAGGCAGCAGUAGGGAAUCUGCCGCAAUGGACGAAAGUCUGACGGAGCAACGCCGCGUGAGCGAAGAAGGCCUUCGGGUCGUAAAGCUCUGUUGUGAGGGAAGAACAAGUAUCGUUCGAAUAUGGCGGUACCUUGACGGUACCUAACCAGAAAGCCACGGCUAACUACGUG